This 254-nucleotide ribosomal RNA is filed under the name uncultured bacterium. Its description in RNAcentral is "partial 16S ribosomal RNA". It matches the Rfam family "Bacterial small subunit ribosomal RNA", at positions 524 to 776 of the family's 1533-position model. The record is from RNAcentral.
UACGUAGGGUGCGAGCGUUAAUCGGAAUUACUGGGCGUAAAGUGUGCGCAGGCGGCUUCGCAAGUCGAGUGUGAAAAUCCCCCGAGCUUAACUUGGGAAUUGCGCUCGAAACUACGGAGCUGGAGUGUGGCAGAGGAAGGUGGAAUUCCACGUGUAGCGGUGAAAUGCGUAGAGAUGUGGAGGAACACCGAUGGCGAAGGCAGCCUUCUGGGCCAACACUGACGCUCAUGCACAAAGCGUGGGGAGCAAACAGG